This 488-nucleotide ribosomal RNA is filed under the name Saccharomyces cerevisiae (brewer's yeast). RNAcentral describes it as "eukaryotic LSU rRNA". It matches the Rfam family "Eukaryotic large subunit ribosomal RNA", at positions 101 to 592 of the family's 3401-position model. The record is from RNAcentral. Lineage: Eukaryota; Fungi; Ascomycota; Saccharomycetes; Saccharomycetales; Saccharomycetaceae.
GCAAAAGCUCAAAUUUGAAAUCUGGUACCUUCGGUGCCCGAGUUGUAAUUUGGAGAGGGCAACUUUGGGGCCGUUCCUUGUCUAUGUUCCUUGGAACAGGACGUCAUAGAGGGUGAGAAUCCCGUGUGGCGAGGAGUGCGGUUCUUUGUAAAGUGCCUUCGAAGAGUCGAGUUGUUUGGGAAUGCAGCUCUAAGUGGGUGGUAAAUUCCAUCUAAAGCUAAAUAUUGGCGAGAGACCGAUAGCGAACAAGUACAGUGAUGGAAAGAUGAAAAGAACUUUGAAAAGAGAGUGAAAAAGUACGUGAAAUUGUUGAAAGGGAAGGGCAUUUGAUCAGACAUGGUGUUUUGUGCCCUCUGCUCCUUGUGGGUAGGGGAAUCUCGCAUUUCACUGGGCCAGCAUCAGUUUUGGUGGCGGGAUAAAUCCAUAGGAAUGUAGCUUGCCUCGGUAAGUAUUAUAGCCUGUGGGAAUACUGCCAGCUGGGACUGAGG